Non-coding RNA from Ovis aries (sheep), 56 nucleotides. Lineage: Eukaryota; Metazoa; Chordata; Mammalia; Artiodactyla; Bovidae. The record is from Rfam.
UGGCUCAGAGGUUAAAGCAUCUGCCUGCAAUGCAGGAGACCUGGGUUCAAUCCCUG